ACUGGCCUUAGGAUUUUGAGAUAUCAUAGGCCAAAUGGAAUGAAUGAAUGAAGAAGGGGAAUAAGAUGAAGAGGGAAGGGAAUGGAUGAAAACACAAAUUGAUCAAAGAAGGACUUUUACCAAAUUAAUAUCAUCCAUUCAUUUUGGGAGAUGGAAUAUACAUUCCAUCAAUCCCCUAAAUCCAAUGAUAUUAAUUUGACAAAGUCAAAUCAACCUUGACCAAGGCCCAACAACAAUAAUCAAACUCAAACAAAUCAUCACAAUUGGUCAACAAAUUUAUUUGGCAUUUAUUCAAAU
RNAcentral lists this long non-coding RNA (297 nucleotides) under Lathyrus oleraceus (garden pea). Its description in RNAcentral is "Pisum sativum (pea) long non-coding RNA (PSAT_LNC027958)". Lineage: Eukaryota; Viridiplantae; Streptophyta; Magnoliopsida; Fabales; Fabaceae. The record is from RNAcentral.